CACACGACUCUCGGCAACGGAUAUCUCGGCUCUCGCAUCGAUGAAGAACGUAGCGAAAUGCGAUACCUGGUGUGAAUUGCAGAAUCCCGCGAACCAUCGAGUCUUUGAACGCAAGUUGCGCCCGAGGCCAUUCUGCCAAGGGCACGCCUGCCUGGGCGUCACGC
RNAcentral lists this ribosomal RNA (164 nucleotides) under Deschampsia cespitosa subsp. neoalpina. Its description in RNAcentral is "5.8S ribosomal RNA". It matches the Rfam family "5.8S ribosomal RNA". From Rfam's summary of the family: 5.8S ribosomal RNA (5.8S rRNA) is a component of the large subunit of the eukaryotic ribosome. It is transcribed by RNA polymerase I as part of the 45S precursor that also contains 18S and 28S rRNA. Lineage: Eukaryota; Viridiplantae; Streptophyta; Magnoliopsida; Poales; Poaceae. The record is from RNAcentral.